Long non-coding RNA from Ictalurus punctatus (channel catfish), 1325 nucleotides. The record is from Ensembl. Lineage: Eukaryota; Metazoa; Chordata; Actinopteri; Siluriformes; Ictaluridae.
UUUAUAUAUAACAGAUAUAUGCAAGGCCAUCAAUCUAAAUAUUUAAUCUUGAAUUUCUCUUGUAAAUUUAGCCACUCAUUUUACAUGAUACAAGUCAAACUUGCAAACAGUUAAACAUUUUUCUUGUUUAUUUUUAUAACCAGUUCCAGAUUUUAGAACAAUUAUAAGUGUAACUUAAUGUGUGUGUGUGUGUGUGUGUGUGUGUGUGUGUAUAUAUAUAUAUAUAAUCUCGUUUAAAUUAGAUUCGGAUUUGUUCGCGGUGUGUGUGUGUGUGUGUGUGUGUGUGUGUGUGUUUAGGCCCCGGUCAAGUACUGAACGUAGAGGGGCACGUGAAGAUCGUUCUGUAAUCUGAUGCCGUUGAAAAUGUGCUCAGCCCCCCAAAAUCUGUCCGGGGAAAAAACCAGCAGCAUCUCUAAUGACUGCACCAGUACAGGCCAAAGAGAGACCCGUCCCUUAACACUGGCUUUCAGUUUACUUUCACACUAAAUAAAGUAGUUUAAUUUUUUUUUAAAAAGAAAGAAAAGAAAGAAAAGAAAAAAAAGCAUGUAUUCUGCGGGCGGGUUUAUAAAGAAACAGAGAAUAGAUGUGACCUAAAUUCAUUCACUUUGAGAAUUGAAAGGACGAAGUUUUCACAUUGAGCGUAACGUCACGGAACUCAACCUCAGAAGCACAAAAUUAAAUACAAACACACAGUGACAACAGCGGUUCUUUCGGUAUUGUACUUAGUCUUUGCUCGUUACUUUACGCUAAUUGGCGUUUUGCGUGUGUGACAUUUUCUCCAACGCUGUUCAUUUUUCCAAAAAUUUUGUUUCACAACACACACACACACACACACACACACACUCACACACACACACGAAGCAAUCCAGCAGACAAAGCCACAUUUUCUCAAACUUACGGUUCCGAAUGCGGUUUUUCCCCUGUCGAAAAUGUUUUAACUUUUCCGAACUUUCCGCUUCACUUUUUUCUUGCUUGUCGGAAAUUUGCUGCUCUCGAAGCUUUCCGCCUGAACUGGACAGGAGUUAACCGACUUUUCUUGUCUUGGUCCUCUCCCCCUUUUCUUCUCCGGGACGCACUAACGUUUGCAACUUUCUCUACAUGCCUGCCAGAACAUUAAAAACCAAAGCAAGCGCGCGCACGCACACAGUGAGAGAGAGAGAGAGAGAGAGAGAGAGAGAUUCCUAAAGCUUUAUGCCAACAAAGAGUGUGGUUUCGAGCGUUGUGGCUACUUUAUGUGGAGUGUGCAACUCCAGCUGCCCUUUCCUUCGUCUGACUCCUCCCUCGGCGCGUACACACACACGCGCACACUAGCUCCCUUUCUACCC